AAAGGAAGAGGCGAUGAGGAUAGCCAAGGAGAUUGCCUGCUCCAUAUAUGCAUGCUCAAUUCAACUAACCAUUCAUAUGCAUUGAAUUGAAUACAAUGGUGCAGGCAAGUCAUCCUUGGCUACCAAAACGACACUUCAUCCCC
Molecule: microRNA precursor, 143 nt
Organism: Ipomoea nil (Japanese morning glory)
Lineage: Eukaryota; Viridiplantae; Streptophyta; Magnoliopsida; Solanales; Convolvulaceae
Source: Rfam